Molecule: long non-coding RNA, 901 nt
Organism: Prunus mume (Japanese apricot)
Lineage: Eukaryota; Viridiplantae; Streptophyta; Magnoliopsida; Rosales; Rosaceae
Source: RefSeq, a predicted model, not a curated record
CCCCUCUCUCUGUCUCUCUUGAACAAAAUCUCUAGAUCUGGAUCUAAAGUGGUUUUCAGGACUGCAAUAUGGAUUCCAUCACCGUCAUAUGGUUUCUUUGAUCUUAUAAACAUCACAGCCGCGACGAACAAUUUCUCUUUCCAGAACAAGUGGAUUUGGUUCUGUCUAUAAGGGUGUGCUUUACAAUGGAAGGGAAAUAGCAGUGAUAAGGCUGUGAACAGAAGAUUAUAUGAAUACUUGAAAAAAAUAGAGCGCUUUUGAAUUGGAUAAGAUACUUCGAAAUAAUCUUAUAUCUUCAUCAAUAUUCAAGAUUAAGAAUCAUUCAUAGAGAUCUAAAGACAAGCAAUGUUCUACGAGAUGCUUCUAUGUACCCCAAAAUUACAGAUUUUGGUAUGGCUAGGAUAUUUAAGGGAGAUCAAAAUGAAAAUAAAACAAAUCGUGUGGUUGGGACAUAGGGGAGAUGGAGAUGGUGUUGCUGCCUGCGAAGUGGUGGUUUGGUUGACGGUGUUGGGUGGGGGUGGGAGAGGCUGUUUGGAGUUGGAUAGGUUUGGGAUGUUGGUGGUUUAACGGUGAUUGGACAUGACAAAAUAAUAAAAGACGUAUUGCCUGACAAAAUAAUAAAAUAUGCAUGACUAAUGGUGAUUGGACAUGUACUUUAGCCUGACAAACUCAUGUCACGAAUUGGUGACAAACAUCAAUAGCUACGUAGACAUAUGUAACACACUGGUUAAUCAUGACUGUAAGGUGACUGAAGCUUGUAGUCACGAAUAAAUGUGACUAAUAGUCACCAAAGAAAAAGUGACUAUUGUCCAAAUUUUUUGUAGUGUUUGUUUGCUUUUUUUAUAAAAAUCUUACGAAUCACGAUUGAACUGGUGAAAACUAUAAUGAAGAGCCAAACUUU